UGGUUGACUUUGGCUGUUUAAAGGAAAGGUGAAAGAGAUUUUAUUCAAACAGAAAGAGUAAAAUGUGUCGAAAAAAGAGACGAAAGGCAAAAAGAAACGAAAGAAAGAUAAGAUUAAAUAUUAACUUUUCCCUUUCUCAAUUUGUCUUGCCUUUUGAAUUUUUGUGCGCAUUUCAAAUUGCAAACAGACCCAUCUAUCGAAAUUAAAAUUAUUUUCAUAAUUUUGCCUCCUUAAAAAGCUUUUUUUUGACGUUUAAUUGUGACGCUUUAUAUUAAUUGCAAUUAUUUUACAUAUAACUAACUCUUUAUGACUGGAAUUUCCUCCGCUCCAAGUAAAUUUGUUGCAAUUUUUUUCCCCUUAAUCAACAAUUUACCAUUUGGUUUGCCCUUUCAAUAAUGUUACUUCAACAGCAACAAUAAACCAGCAAACCACGAGAAUGUUUCAAGUAUAUUUUUCAAUUUAAUCGAUUCUCUGGUUUUGAAAAUUGACAUUAACAAUGAAACCAUUUUUCAUUUAAAUAAAUUAAUGUCUAUUAUUUGAUGGUCACAUCAUAAAUAUAAACAAAGGAAAAAUAUGUGAAUGAGAAGAACAAAAGGAAAUCAAGUUUGCUGUCUCAUGGAUAACAUUAUCUGGUUCCAUCUAUUUUUUCCCAUUAUACCAAACAUAGUGAUAAGCUUGUGUACAUGUGUACCAAUGAAGAUACAAUUGAUGUAAGGCGUGGGUCAUUGUCCAGGUUAAAGGCUGAUAGGCUGGUGAAAGGCCAUUAUCAUACUCAUCAGCCAAAAUCAUAACAUUAAGACAGGAAAAAGUCAACUGCAAAAUCAAUAGAAGGAGCAAAGAACCAGAUUAAAUGAAGAAGCUGCCAAAUCAAGGUGAAUCUCUAAUAGGAAGACAAUUGGAAUGGAUCAGCCCAAACAACAACCUUGAUAUUAUUCACCAAUUUUGAUGAAUAAUUUCUAUUUCUUCCUCUCAUCAUCAUUAUCGCCAUCAUCAUCACCAUACCUGAUCAAUAUAUUAAUAAUAUUAAUGGGAUAGAGAGAGAGAUGUGAAACUGGUUCAUUGAGGAAAAAAAGAAAUGAAGACAGAAGAAGAUGUAUUAUAAUUAAAAGUUAAUGUAAAGCUUGAAGAUAAUACAUCAAAAGAUAGGAAUAAUGAUGAUGCUGAAAAGCAAAACCAUCAAGUUACAUGUAACUUUAACGUUACAGCAAAAAAAAUGCGAUUGAAGGAGCGUUGAAGGCGUGUAAAUAAUUGUGAGAUGUUAGUUGAUUAUGAUGAUGAUGAUGAUGAUAUGUGAGUGCUUAACUAGACUUAAGGUUAGCAACUUUGGUUUUAUCACAUCACGAGGUUUAAUUAAAUUGAUGCUGGACUUACCGUCUCCAUCUUAAUGAUAUAUAACCUGCAAGGCAUUUGGUUUGUUAACAUUAACGCAUGUAAGACAUGUAUCAAGACUCAAGACGAUUGAUACUCACACACUUGAACCACUUGAUGCUUUUAUUCCCAUUGAAAUUAAUACCUAACCAGAGGCUCAACCACACACCAACACAUUUACAUACAGAGUAAUUAAUCAAUCUAUUCAGUGUUCACCAACAGUAAAUGAUGGUUCAUUCGGGUGUAAACUUCCUACCAAGUAUCUCUUCAAAUCAGGUUGCAUUCAUUUGGACAACAUAUUGUAUUUGUAUCAACUAUUUGGCCUAGAAUUCUGGUUCAACCAUUUCUUUUAAAUAUAUACAAUUUAACAAUCAUAUGACUAGAUUAUUAUAGCUCAUAUUAACCCUUGUAAUAAUAAUGUGGUUAAUAAUUGUUAGGAAACUGACUGGACUGCAGCCAACAAAUAACUGAAAGUAUUAAAUGUAUAUAAAGAGGUUCUUGAACAACCUUGAAUGUAAUGCUGAAAACAUUUCAAACGCUGUAAUCAACGUUUAUUUUGUACCUUUUCUUGUAAUUCUGGUCAAUUAUCACAUUAAUAAUUAUCAAAUUAGCUAUCAUAUAACCAACAAUCAGUUAAUUGCCAUUAGAGAGCCAUGUUUAAAAAUGUACAUUCAGUUAUUACUUUAGGUUUUGUUUCUUGGCUGCCUUCUCGGUUUUGCCUUUUGCUUUCACUUUUUUUACAGGUUAAAUUAUUCUUACGUUAAAUUGUUUCUUCUCAAUUUACAUUUAUCAUUGAAUUAAUGUUUUCAUUUUUAUCCAUUCAUUGUAAAUAUAACCUUAAAUAGUCAAUAAUCAUCCGGAUCAAGUUGAUUUGUGAUAAAAUCAAGUACAGAUGAUUUUUUGUAAGUAUUGUUUAUAUCUGAUAGCAAUGGGUAACAUCAGUACCAGGUGAUAUUGAAAAAGAGCUUAAUUAGUGUAAUUGUAAUGAUUUACCUUAAUUUCAACAAUAAUAUAACCUUCACUGUUAUCAAUUUACUAUUUCUUUAA
Molecule: long non-coding RNA, 2415 nt
Organism: Tetranychus urticae (two-spotted spider mite)
Lineage: Eukaryota; Metazoa; Arthropoda; Arachnida; Trombidiformes; Tetranychidae
Source: RefSeq, a predicted model, not a curated record